GGCACUGACCAGGCUGGACAUGUCUGGUCACGCAGACACACCUUCACACCUAUCUAACACCGCUGCCAUGGAUCUGACUGAGGCUCUACCCAGACUCCCUAACCUGGAGGAGCUGAACCUGUUUUACAUCUCCAUGGAGCCUGCAGGCUUCAAUGCUGUGGUGCAGGCUGCAGAUGGACACCCAACACUCAAGGAGCUACACUAUGAAACAGAACAGGUGCCUGAGGGAGCAGAAACUACAGCCAGCUAUCUGAAGCUGUCAAGCUUCCAAUGAGUUCCUUUCAUCAUGCCAACCUGUUCUGUACAUUGUCUCAGGUAUGUGUUACGUCAUGUAGCUGUCCCGACACACAGGUGCCUUCCAGUCUGGACAAGUGUGGCUUUCCUGAAAGUUAUAUAUUAAGCCCUGCCAUCACACAAAAAUCCUCCCCAAACAUCUGCUUGGAGAGUGUAUCCACAUUCCUAUGACAACUCAUCUACUAAUUUGAAGAACAAAUUGUGGACACCACAUGACUUACCAAGGACAUAUCGUCUACCCUAUAUAUAUCUAUAUCUAUCCAUCUAAUAUCUAUCUAUCUUAAUUCUUAUAUCUAUCUACUAGAUGUGUAGAUAUAUAUAUAGAUAUCUUUGUAUAUAUAUAUUCUAUCUGUCU
Molecule: long non-coding RNA, 649 nt
Organism: Branchiostoma floridae (Florida lancelet)
Lineage: Eukaryota; Metazoa; Chordata; Leptocardii; Amphioxiformes; Branchiostomatidae
Exons: 3
Source: RefSeq, a predicted model, not a curated record